GGACGCUUAGCAAAGUGGUUAAUGCAUCCGGCUCAUAACCGGAAGAUUCCUGGGUUCGAUGCCCAGAGCGUCCA
RNAcentral lists this transfer RNA (74 nucleotides) under Enterocloster clostridioformis. Its description in RNAcentral is "[Clostridium] clostridioforme tRNA_Met_CAT". It matches the Rfam family "tRNA". From Rfam's summary of the family: Transfer RNA (tRNA) molecules are approximately 80 nucleotides in length. The record is from RNAcentral. RNAcentral also lists the same sequence under 1 other name. Lineage: Bacteria; Bacillati; Bacillota; Clostridia; Lachnospirales; Lachnospiraceae.